Molecule: unclassified non-coding RNA, 328 nt
Filed under: soil metagenome
Description: partial contains 5.8S ribosomal RNA, internal transcribed spacer 2, and large subunit ribosomal RNA
Rfam family: 5.8S ribosomal RNA (bases 1-120)
Source: RNAcentral
GAUGAAGAACGUAGCGAAAUGCGAUAAGUAAUGUGAAUUGCAGAAUUCAGUGAAUCAUCGAAUCUUUGAACGCACAUUGCGCCCCCUGGUAUUCCGGGGGGCAUGCCUGUUCGAGCGUCAUUUCAACCCUCAAGCUCUGCUUGGUAUUGAGUCCAUGUCAGCAAUGGCAGGCUCCAAAAUCAGUGGCGGCGCCGCUGGGUCCUGAACGUAGUAAUAUCUCUUGUUACAGGUGCUCGGCGUGCUUCUGCCAAAACCCCAAUUUUUCUAUGGUUGACCUCGGAUCAGGUAGGGAUACCCGCUGAACUUAAGCAUAUCAAUAAGCGGAGGA